This 833-nucleotide ribosomal RNA is filed under the name Meyerozyma guilliermondii. RNAcentral's name for it is "eukaryotic LSU rRNA". The stretch from base 516 to 833 matches the Rfam family "Eukaryotic large subunit ribosomal RNA", at positions 1 to 316 of the family's 3401-position model. Lineage: Eukaryota; Fungi; Ascomycota; Pichiomycetes; Serinales; Debaryomycetaceae. The record is from RNAcentral.
CUCUUUUGCCAGCGCUUAACUGCGCGGCGAAAAACCUUACACACAGUGUCUUUUUGAUACAGAACUCUUGCUUUGGUUUGGCCUAGAGAUAGGUUGGGCCAGAGGUUUAACAAAACACAAUUUAAUUAUUUUUACAGUUAGUCAAAUUUUGAAUUAAUCUUCAAAACUUUCAACAACGGAUCUCUUGGUUCUCGCAUCGAUGAAGAACGCAGCGAAAUGCGAUAAGUAAUAUGAAUUGCAGAUUUUCGUGAAUCAUCGAAUCUUUGAACGCACAUUGCGCCCUCUGGUAUUCCAGAGGGCAUGCCUGUUUGAGCGUCAUUUCUCUCUCAAACCCCCGGGUUUGGUAUUGAGUGAUACUCUUAGUCGGACUAGGCGUUUGCUUGAAAAGUAUUGGCAUGGGUAGUACUAGAUAGUGCUGUCGACCUCUCAAUGUAUUAGGUUUAUCCAACUCGUUGAAUGGUGUGGCGGGAUAUUUCUGGUAUUGUUGGCCCGGCCUUACAACAACCAAACAAGUUUGACCUCAAAUCAGGUAGGAAUACCCGCUGAACUUAAGCAUAUCAAUAAGCGGAGGAAAAGAAACCAACAGGGAUUGCCUUAGUAGCGGCGAGUGAAGCGGCAAAAGCUCAAAUUUGAAAUCUGGCGCCUUCGGUGUCCGAGUUGUAAUUUGAAGAUUGUAACCUUGGGGUUGGCUCUUGUCUAUGUUUCUUGGAACAGGACGUCACAGAGGGUGAGAAUCCCGUGCGAUGAGAUGCCCAAUUCUAUGUAAGGUGCUUUCGAAGAGUCGAGUUGUUUGGGAAUGCAGCUCUAAGUGGGUGGUAAAUUCCAUCUAAAGC